GUGUCAGCAGCCGCGCGGUAAUACGGAGGGUGCAAGCGUUACUCGGAAUCACUGGGCGUAAAGCGCGCGCAGGCGGCUAGAUAAGUUGGAAGUGAAAUCCUAUGGCUCAACCAUAGAACUGCUUCCAAAACUGUUUAACUAGAGUCUGGGAGGGGAAGAUGGAAUUAGUAGUGUAGGGGUAAAAUCCGUAGAGAUUACUAGGAAUACCAAAAGCGAAGGCGAUCUUCUGGAACAGUACUGACGCUGAGGCGCGAAAGCGUGGGGAGCAAACAGGAUUAGAUACCCUGGUAGUCCACGCCCUAAACGAUGAAUGUUAGUCGUCGGGACUCUAGUAGUUUCGGUGAUGCAGUUAACACAUUAAACAUUCCGCCUGGGGAGUACGGUCGCAAGAUUAAAACUCAAAGGAAUAGACGGGGACCCGCACAAGUGGUGGAGCAUGUGGUUUAAUUCCAAGAUACGCGAAGAACCUUACCUAGCCUUGACAUAUUUUAGAACUCCGCAGAGAUGUAGAGGUGCCUUCGGGAGCUAAUAUACAGGUGCUGCACGGCUGUCGUCAGCUCGUGUCGUGAGAUGUUGGGUUAAGUCCCGCAACGAGCGCAACCCUCGUUCUUAGUUACUAACGGUUCGGCCGAGGACUCUAAGAAGACUGCCUUCGUAAGGAGGAGGAAGGUGAGGACGACGUCAAGUCAUCAUGGCCCUUACGGCUAGGGCAACACACGUGCUACAAUGGUUAGGACAAUGAGACGCAAUACCGCGAGGUGGAGCAAAUCUAUAAACCUAAUCUCAGUUCGGAUUGUAGUCUGCAACUCGACUACAUGAAGCUGGAAUCACUAGUAAUCGUAGAUCAGCUAUGCUACGG
Molecule: ribosomal RNA, 859 nt
Filed under: uncultured Sulfurovum sp.
Lineage: Bacteria; Pseudomonadati; Campylobacterota; Epsilonproteobacteria; Campylobacterales; Sulfurovaceae
Description: bacterial SSU rRNA
Rfam family: Bacterial small subunit ribosomal RNA
Source: RNAcentral